RNAcentral lists this ribosomal RNA (253 nucleotides) under uncultured bacterium. RNAcentral describes it as "partial 16S ribosomal RNA". It matches the Rfam family "Bacterial small subunit ribosomal RNA", at positions 524 to 776 of the family's 1533-position model. The record is from RNAcentral.
UACAGAGGGGGCAAGCGUUGUUCGGAAUUACUGGGCGUAAAGGGCGCGUAGGCGGCCUGUUAAGUCGAACGUGAAAUCCCCGGGCUCAACCCGGGAACUGCGUCCGAUACUGGCAGGCUUGAAUCCGGGAGAGGGAUGCGGAAUUCUAGGUGUAGCGGUGAAAUGCGUAGAUAUCUGGAGGAACACCGGUGGCGAAGGCGGCAUCCUGGACCGGCAUUGACGCUGAGGCGCGAAAGCCAGGGGAGCAAACGGG